AUCAGUCUUCCCACUGUGCCUCCUGCAAGCACAAGCAGGAUGAAAACAGGAUUCAGGAUGAAAAUAGGCCUGAUCUGGCUCAUUGAAUUGUGCUUGUGUGGGCUGGGACAGGAAUUGGAGGCUAGAGGCAGAGGAGUCGACAGAAGCAGCUUGUGGUAGCACUGCCGUUGAUGGAAAUAUCUGUGACUGGAGUCCUGGUUAUCAGCUGCAUGGGACAGUGUGUCAGCAUCAACUCCAUUUCCUGGUGCUCCAUGUGGCCAAAGAACAAACCUGAAGCAACUUCUCAAGGGCACGCAGCAACUGGUGGAAGAGCUCUGCAGUUGGAUGUCAGAUUUGUUUACCUUAGGCAUCUUCCAUCUUCGCCACCACUGCUGAAUCAGUCUUCCUUUAUGAAGCACGAUGUCCCCUUUGCAGUAGGCUGGAAAUGUGAGACGUGCUUAGGAGCAGUGCCUGGCCUGGGAAAAAGAAAUGCACCCCUCCCACCUAAGUACCACUGCAGUCCAGGUUUUAAUCUGAUAGAGCUGGGAAUGAAACUGUUCAGACUGCUAGAAGCUUGA
RNAcentral lists this long non-coding RNA (557 nucleotides) under Anser brachyrhynchus (Pink-footed goose). RNAcentral's name for it is "lncRNA (ENSABRG00000007853.1)". Lineage: Eukaryota; Metazoa; Chordata; Aves; Anseriformes; Anatidae. The record is from RNAcentral.